UACUGAAUACAAUAAUGAUUUUGACAUUUUAACUACUGAAAUCAAACCAGCACAUUACUCUGGUGCUUGAACAUUAUUUCUUUAAGAAAUAGAUAGUAUGCUAUCCGUUUCGUUUAUUUCAUUUAGAAAUAAACUUAGCUGAAAAUGUGAAUCAACUAGAAUUCGAAUUCGGGACUUCGCAUACCAAUUACCAACCUUUUUACCACCUGCGCUAGGGACGGUCGGUGUUUAAACAUUAGAAUUGACAUAUUGUGGAUCAU
RNAcentral lists this long non-coding RNA (260 nucleotides) under Ananas comosus (pineapple). Its description in RNAcentral is "long non-coding RNA (ACOM_LNC011020)". Lineage: Eukaryota; Viridiplantae; Streptophyta; Magnoliopsida; Poales; Bromeliaceae. The record is from RNAcentral.